CAGCCGCCACGGGAAUACGUAGGUGGCAAGCGUUGUCCGGAAUUAUUGGGCGUAAAGGGCUCGCAGGCGGUUUCUUAAGUCUGAUGUGAAAGCCCCCGGCUCAACCGGGGAGGGUCAUUGGAAACUGGGAAACUUGAGUGCAGAAGAGGAGAGUGGAAUUCCACGUGUAGCGGUGAAAUGCGUAGAGAUGUGGAGGAACACCAGUGGCGAAGGCGACUCUCUGGUCUGUAACUGACGCUGAGGAGCGAAAGCGUGGGGAGCGAACAGGAUUAGAUACCAGUAGUCCCUGUCUCUUAUACAC
This 301-nucleotide ribosomal RNA is filed under the name uncultured bacterium. RNAcentral describes it as "partial 16S ribosomal RNA". It matches the Rfam family "Bacterial small subunit ribosomal RNA", at positions 509 to 809 of the family's 1533-position model. The record is from RNAcentral.